RNAcentral lists this ribosomal RNA (426 nucleotides) under uncultured bacterium. RNAcentral's name for it is "bacterial SSU rRNA". It matches the Rfam family "Bacterial small subunit ribosomal RNA", at positions 81 to 518 of the family's 1533-position model. The record is from RNAcentral.
AGGACGAGCAAAGUGUAGUGGCGGACGGGUGAGUAACACGUGGGCAACCUGCCGUCAUAGAGAGGAAUAGCCUUCCGAAAGGGAGAUUAAUACCUCAUAACAUUGCAGUUUCGCAUGAAACAGCAAUUAAAGGAGCAAUCCGCUAUGAGAUGGGCCCGCGGCGCAUUAGCUAGUUGGUGAGGUAACGGCUCACCAAGGCGACGAUGCGUAGCCGACCUGAGAGGGUGAUCGGCCACAUUGGGACUGAGACACGGCCCAGACUCCUACGGGAGGCAGCAGUGGGGAAUAUUGCACAAUGGGGGAAACCCUGAUAGCAGCAACGCCGCGUGAGUAAUGACGGCCUUCGGGUUGUAAAGCUCUGUCUUCAGGGACGAUAAUGACGGUACCUGAGGAGGAAGCCACGGCUAACUACGUGCCAGCCGCCGC